AUACAUAAGAUCGGAUCGGAUAAUGGAUCGAGACGGCCACUAUCCAAAUCCCAUCCGAUCCAAAAUAUAAAUUUAUUAGGUUUGGAUCAGAUCGAAUCAAAAUUCAAUCAAUAUGUUGACCUAUCCGACCCAUUAAGGUCAAAUCAGAUCGGGACCGUCUAGGUCGGAUGUAAUUGCCAAGUCUGCUCCUUAUCCAUGGG
RNAcentral lists this long non-coding RNA (200 nucleotides) under Elaeis guineensis (African oil palm). RNAcentral describes it as "long non-coding RNA (EGUI_LNC007212)". Lineage: Eukaryota; Viridiplantae; Streptophyta; Magnoliopsida; Arecales; Arecaceae. The record is from RNAcentral.